This is a non-coding RNA of Gorilla gorilla gorilla (western lowland gorilla), 148 nucleotides long. It matches the Rfam family "Metazoan signal recognition particle RNA". From Rfam's summary of the family: The signal recognition particle (SRP) is a universally conserved ribonucleoprotein. It is involved in the co-translational targeting of proteins to membranes. Lineage: Eukaryota; Metazoa; Chordata; Mammalia; Primates; Hominidae. The record is from Rfam.
GCCAGGCAUGGUGGUGCAUGCCUGUAAUCCCAGCUACUUGGGAGGCUGAGGCAGGACAAUUGCUUGAACCCGGGAGGUGGAGGUUGCCGUGAGCUGAGAUUGCACCACUGCAUCCCAGCCUGGGUGACAGAGCAAGACUCUGUCUCAA